Molecule: unclassified non-coding RNA, 344 nt
Filed under: soil metagenome
Description: partial contains 5.8S ribosomal RNA, internal transcribed spacer 2, and large subunit ribosomal RNA
Rfam family: 5.8S ribosomal RNA (bases 1-120)
Source: RNAcentral
GAUGAAGAACGUAGCGAAAUGCGAUAAGUAAUGUGAAUUGCAGAAUUCAGUGAAUCAUCGAAUCUUUGAACGCACAUUGCGCCCGCCAGUAUUCUGGCGGGCAUGCCUGUUCGAGCGUCAUUUCAACCCUCAAGCCCCCGGGCUUGGUGUUGGGGAUCGGCGUGCCCUCGCGGCGCGCCGUCCCCUAAAUCUAGUGGCGGUCUCGCUGUAGCUUCCUCUGCGUAGUAGCAACACUCGCACUGGAUCGCAGCGCGGCCACGCCGUUAAACCCCCCACUUCCGAAAGUUUGACCUCGGAUCAGGUAGGAAUACCCGCUGAACUUAAGCAUAUCAAUAAGCGGAGGA